UAAGGUUCCAAGCUAGAGAUAACUCCUCUUCCCCAGGAACGAAAAACCCCCUUGUCAAAAGGGCCUACGGAACAAAAUACCAAACACCAUACGCUCUCUUACCGGACGCAGUGCCACCGCUGCCUUUCGGGCCAGUCCCCCGGGAGCCGGGGGACGAGGGCCCAACACACAAGCCGGCCUUGAGGGAUCUCUUGACUCUGGCACAGGUGUGCCCCCCAAUAUAACGGGGCGCACUGUGUGUUUUUAAACACUUUGAUUCACUGAAUUCUGUUUUUCACAUUAUUUGUCUCAUUUGGCUGCGCUCUUCAUCUAUGUGCCAGAACGAGAGGCCCUGUGGUGAGUUUUUAUUGAUUUUUGGAACUCCCACUCACACUGCCAGCUUUUUGAAAAGGGGUUUUGGUGGGGUUUCCGGGGGGGGCCGGGCCCGGGGGGAAACCCCCCCCCGCGGCCCAAAACGCUUGGGGGCCCCCCAAAAACAUAAAGGUAAAUUGUUUUGGGGGGGGAUGUUGUCGGAAAAAGACGCGAUACCCGCUGAACUCUCUGCUAUUUCAAAUCGGAAAGGAUCAUUACCGAGUGCGGGUCUUUAUGGCCACCUCCCACCCGUGACUAUGUACCUUGUUGCUUGGCGGGCCGUGGCGUUUGCUGGCCGCGGGGGGCGACUGCCUUGGGCCCGUUCCCCCCAAAAACCCAAAAAAGAGUUGGGAAAAAAAGUGGGAGACCGAGGGGGUCUUUCUGUCGCCUUUAAAAAUUUUAACGGGGAAAUUUUUGGUUCGCGCCUCCUUAAAAAAAAAGCCG
This 795-nucleotide ribosomal RNA is filed under the name Aspergillus terreus. Its description in RNAcentral is "partial small subunit ribosomal RNA". The record is from RNAcentral. Lineage: Eukaryota; Fungi; Ascomycota; Eurotiomycetes; Eurotiales; Aspergillaceae.